Molecule: long non-coding RNA, 483 nt
Organism: Dalotia coriaria
Lineage: Eukaryota; Metazoa; Arthropoda; Insecta; Coleoptera; Staphylinidae
Exons: 2
Source: RefSeq, a predicted model, not a curated record
AAGAGGCGUUAUGUGAGUGUGUAUUUUUUUUAUUGUUGAUUUUUAUUUCGCGUGCUGUGGAUUCCAAACGCAAGCGGUCAGUGCAGCAAUUAACUUGUUUAUCUACAAAAUAAAACUCGCAAUAAUAUUCAUUAUGCAGUGGGAAUUUGAUGCAUCAUUCAAAGCACAGCUAUAUAAAUCCAAGCGGAAAGUUUUACCAACUUACCUUCCAAUGUGCGAGUAGACUACAAGUAUAAAACUUUAUAAAUAAGCUAGCUUGACUAAUGCUUCCAGAAAUACAAACAUUAAUGGUGUAAACGUGACUCCCGAUGAAUGGAUGAUAAUAAUGUAGAAAAGUAACACUGUAAUAUUAUAUUUCAACAAUUUAUUAUAUUAAAGUCGAUCAUAUACAAAAUAUUUAUAACUAGAAAAUAUACAAACACGAGAUAUAUUUCAAUAAUUAAAACAUAACUACUUCAAACUAUAUAAAACAAUAACAAUAUA